GUAGGUGGCAAGCGUUGUCCGGAAUUAUUGGGCGUAAAGCGCGCGCAGGUGGUUCUUUAAGUCUGAUGUGAAAGCCCCCGGCUCAACCGGGGAGGGUCAUUGGAAGCUGGGGAACUUGAGUGCAGGAGAGGAAAGUGGAAUUCCACGUGUAGCGGUGAAAUGCGUAGAUAUGUGGAGGAACACCAGUGGCGAAGGCGACUUUCUGGCCUGUAACUGACACUGAGGCGCGAAAGCGUGGGGAGCAAACAGGGAUUAGAUACCCUGGUAGUCCACGCCGUAAACGAUGAGUGCUAAGUGUUGGGGGGGUUUUCCGCCCCCUCAGUGCUGCAGCUAACGCAUUAAGCACUCCGCCUGGGAGUACGGUCGCAAGACUG
Molecule: ribosomal RNA, 374 nt
Filed under: uncultured organism
Description: partial 16S ribosomal RNA
Rfam family: Bacterial small subunit ribosomal RNA
Source: RNAcentral